UCCAUUAAACAAACUUACAUAAGCUGCCAUUCAUCUUUGCCUUUUCUAUACUAAAAAGACAUAAAAGAGAAGGACGAGGAAGGCGACCAGGCUGGAAAAAGAGGAGCGAGGCAACACCGAAGAAGAAGGGGUUGUAGAGAGAAGUCCAUAAAAAUCGGUGAAGAGAGAGGGACAAGGGAGGCGACCAUGCUGUAAAAAGAGGGGCGAGACAGCACCAAAGAAGAAAAAAGGCUGCUUAGAGAAGUCCACAAAUCAGUGGUGAUUAUCGGUCUUUCCCUUUUGAAAUCAAGAGGUUGUUGGAGUGCAUUGGUGAUAAAAAUGUGGAAUCUUGAUGUCUGGGUUGGUGUAGUGAGGAUUUCGAGAGAGGGAACCUCUAUUGAGUGAAACUUUGGGAAGUGAUAAUGGAGGAGGAAGAGGAGGAGGAGGAUCAUUCAGCUCUGAUGGGCUUUUGGUAGGGUUAGUUAGAUAAUUGUAUUGUGCUAGUGAUGGAGUGGAGGGCUGCUGGUGGUGGUAGUGAUGGAAUAGGAGCAGUGGAGGAGAAAAUAAGAGAAGAUUGAUGGAAGAGAGAGGAUGAACACAGAGAUGCAGAAUGAUGUGUAAAAGAAGCACUUUGGGCUUCUCGAUCUAUGAUUUUUCAUUUCAUCUACUUUUUUUUUUUUUAUAGUAAAACCAGAUCGAUGGAAGAGAAAAAGGAUGAGCACAGAGUUGUAGAGAGAAUAACAUUCAGAAUUAGCACUUUGGGCUUCUGGAUCUGCAGUUUUUAGUUCGAUUUUGAUGACAGAGGAAUGUUUUGACCAGAUAAUUUUCUUCUCAUUAUUUGAUGUUGCUCUGUCUGAUGUCUUUUUUCUUUGGAUGCUGUCUUUUUACUUUCACCUCAGAUCGUGUUUUGUUGCAUUUUGUUGUUCUUUACACCUAUUGUUUGAUUAUACCUGUUACUGCACUUGUGCUCAUUAUUUUUUCUAUCCAUGUGCCACUUUUGCCCUCUUUUCAUCAUUUGAUUUUGCUGUGAAUAGAUUGUGAUCCAUAAGCUUAGGUUUUUUUCAUUUGUUGGAGGGAGAAAAAGGGUGAGGUUUGUUGAGAAUGAAUGAGAGGAAGAGGAGGAGAGCGUGCCAGAAGAUGAAUUAGGUGAGUAAGUGAAGUGGAAGGGAGAUAGACUAUGCCAAGUGUUUAUGUUGGUUCCAGAUGGUUGGUGCUUUGGCUGAUGCUGAUGACAUGUCUAUGUCUGGUAUAGUCUAUUUUUUGUGGGUCUUCUCACGGAAUUGGCAUAUGUCUCUCUCUCUCUCUCUCUCUUUUCUCUGUGUCCUUUUCUCUAGCCAUUGUUGCCUGUUUUGGUUCUUAUUUGGCAAUCUCUGCAUUUUUACUGGUUUUUCCCAUCUAUUGCGCUUUAGUUUUUCCCUGCUUGGUCUAUGGAUUUUUUUACUGUUUUCAUUGUGGUGUGCAAGUUGUUUUGCCCUUCUUUCUAGGGUCUAUGGUCUGUGUUUGAGGGGGUUUUGAAUCCUUUUUUACCCUCUACUCAUCUAUGUUCUCUGCCAGCUUCGAGUCAUUCUCUAUUGCUGAGCUUCUUAUUCACCAUGAAUGUCGUCUGCCCCUUUUCCUGGAUAAAACAAAGGAGGAGGAAAGCCCAGGAUUUUACAUGUAUUGUUGAUCUCGUAUUGUGAUCUUGAAUAUCUCUGAUUUUAUGUUCUCCUUUCACCUCAAUUUUGUAUGUAUUGUUGAUAUUGAGAAUGUAUUACGAUCUUGAAUAUCAAUGAUUUUGUGUUCUCUAUUUA
Molecule: long non-coding RNA, 1769 nt
Organism: Populus trichocarpa (black cottonwood)
Lineage: Eukaryota; Viridiplantae; Streptophyta; Magnoliopsida; Malpighiales; Salicaceae
Exons: 4
Source: RefSeq, a predicted model, not a curated record